CCUACGGGGCGCUGCAGUGAGGAAUAUUGGUCAAUGGACGAGAGUCUGAACCAGCCAAGUAGCGUGAAGGAUGACUGCCCUAUGGGUUGUAAACUUCUUUUAUAUGGGAAUAAAAUGUUCCACGUGUGGGAUUUUGUAUGUACCAUAUGAAUAAGGAUCGGCUAACUCCGUGCCAGCAGCCGCGGUAAUACGGAGGAUCCGAGCGUUAUCCGGAUUUAUUGGGUUUAAAGGGAGCGUAGGUGGAUUGUUAAGUCAGUUGUGAAAGUUUGCGGCUCAACCGUAAAAUUGCAGUUGAAACUGGCAGUCUUGAGUACAGUAGAGGUGGGCGGAAUUCGUGGUGUAGCGGUGAAAUGCUUAGAUAUCACGAAGAACUCCGAUUGCGAAGGCAGUUCACUGGACUGCAACUGACACUGAGGCUCGAAAGUGUGGGUAUCAAACAGGAUUAGAUACCCGUGUAGUC
RNAcentral lists this ribosomal RNA (460 nucleotides) under uncultured bacterium. Its description in RNAcentral is "partial 16S ribosomal RNA". It matches the Rfam family "Bacterial small subunit ribosomal RNA", at positions 338 to 795 of the family's 1533-position model. The record is from RNAcentral.